This 246-nucleotide long non-coding RNA is filed under the name Cercocebus atys (sooty mangabey). Its description in RNAcentral is "lncRNA (ENSCATG00000045643.1)". The record is from RNAcentral. Lineage: Eukaryota; Metazoa; Chordata; Mammalia; Primates; Cercopithecidae.
UUCUAAGUCCUCAUCCUUUACUCGUUGCUUCUCUUUUUCUUCCAGAAGCCACAACUUCCACAGGAGUCCAUAGAACCACUGUAGUGGGAUGGAAGACAGAAGCUAUGACGUCCUUUAGAGGCACUGAGACCAUAGGAAGUGGAAUGAAUACAGGGGUAUCAGGUAGCCAAGUCACUAGCAUUCCACUAGGUACUACUGCAGUGGUCUCUGGCAACACCAUCUCACCUAGCAGUUUCAACACAGGUG